AGAAUCAACGCUGGCGGCGUGCCUAACACAUGCAAGUCGAACGAGAAAGUGGAGCAAUCCAUGAGUACAGUGGCGCACGGGUGAGUAACACGUGACUAACCUACCCUUGAGUUCGGAAUAACUUCGGGAAACCGAGGCUAAUACCGGAUAAUAUCUACGGAUCAAAGGAGCAAUUCGCUUAAGGAGGGGGUCGCGGCAGAUUAGUUAGUUGGCGGGGUAAUGGCCCACCAAGACGAUGAUCUGUAUCCGGCCUGAGAGGGCGCACGGACACACUGGAACUGAAACACGGUCCAGACUCCUACGGGAGGCAGCAGUGGGGAAUUUUGCGCAAUGGGGGAAACCCUGACGCAGCAACGCCGCGUGGAGGAUGAAAUCCCUUGGGAUGUAAACUCCUUUCGAUCGGGACGAUUAUGACGGUACCGGAAGAAGAGCCCGGCUAACUUCGCGCCAGCAGCCGC
RNAcentral lists this ribosomal RNA (458 nucleotides) under uncultured bacterium. Its description in RNAcentral is "SSU rRNA". It matches the Rfam family "Bacterial small subunit ribosomal RNA", at positions 26 to 518 of the family's 1533-position model. The record is from RNAcentral.